This 473-nucleotide ribosomal RNA is filed under the name uncultured organism. RNAcentral's name for it is "partial 16S ribosomal RNA". It matches the Rfam family "Bacterial small subunit ribosomal RNA", at positions 335 to 799 of the family's 1533-position model. The record is from RNAcentral.
ACUCCUGCGGGAGGCAGCAGUGGGGAAUAUUGCACAAUGGGCGCAAGCCUGAUGCAGCCAUGCCGCGUGUAUGAAGAAGGCCUUCGGGUUGUAAAGUACUUUCAGCGGGGAGGAAGGCAAUACGGUUAAUAACCGUGUUGAUUGACGUUACCCGCAGAAGAAGCACCGGCUAACUCCGUGCCAGCAGCCGCGGUAAUACGGAGGGUGCAAGCGUUAAUCGGAAUUACUGGGCGUAAAGCGCACGCAGGCGGUCUGUCAAGUCGGAUGUGAAAUCCCCGGGCUCAACCUGGGAACUGCAUUCGAAACUGGCAGGCUUGAGUCUUGUAGAGGGGGGUAGAAUUCCAGGUGUAGCGGUGAAAUGCGUAGAGAUCUGGAGGAAUACCGGUGGCGAAGGCGGCCCCCUGGACAAAGACUGACGCUCAGGUGCGAAAGCGUGGGGAGCAAACAGGAUUAGAAACCCCGGUAGUCCCAUG